UACGAAGGGGGCUAGCGUUGUUCGGAAUCACUGGGCGUAAAGCGCACGUAGGCGGACUCUUAAGUCAGGGGUGAAAUCCUGGAGCUCAACUCCAGAACUGCCUUUGAUACUGGGAGUCUUGAGUUCGGGAGAGGUGAGUGGAACUGCGAGUGUAGAGGUGAAAUUCGUAGAUAUUCGCAAGAACACCAGUGGCGAAGGCGGCUCACUGGCCCGAUACUGACGCUGAGGUGCGAAAGCGUGGGGAGCAACAGG
RNAcentral lists this ribosomal RNA (252 nucleotides) under uncultured bacterium. RNAcentral's name for it is "partial 16S ribosomal RNA". It matches the Rfam family "Bacterial small subunit ribosomal RNA", at positions 524 to 775 of the family's 1533-position model. The record is from RNAcentral.